This 1884-nucleotide long non-coding RNA is filed under the name Zea mays. RNAcentral's name for it is "long non-coding RNA (ZMAY_LNC002883)". Lineage: Eukaryota; Viridiplantae; Streptophyta; Magnoliopsida; Poales; Poaceae. The record is from RNAcentral.
GAAGCUGCACAACACCCGUAUGAUGUUCGACGACAAGCCCGAGUCAGGAUUUAUCAGCAUUCUUACGAGUAUUGAGUCACGUUUGAUGCUGGUGAGCUGAUUUAUAAUUUUUGUAAGUUUAUCUGAUGAUUGGAUUAACUAGACUUAUUAGUCGUAAUAAUUCUCCUGUUUAACAGUCGUGUCGUGUUUGUGUUAGAUGUUUGCUAAAAUACCUCAGCACCUCUGAUAACGUAAUCGUGUGAAAUAAUUGCGUAUUAUGGUACAACUUAGGUCUAAAAUGCAGGAUUUUUGAAGAAUGUCUUAGAGAACGUAUAAGUUAAGUGUGCAUAAAUUGGUUCGUCAUUUGUGAUGAAUGGUCAAUUUAGUAAUGUAAAGGGUGGUGUACGUGUUUCUAUCGUCUACCCGGUAAGCAUUAGCGAUGCUUAUAUAUAUCAUGAUUUCUGUAUGAUUGAUUUGCGUUGAUAUCGUGUUUAGCUGAUAUGAUGUGCAUAAUAGUUUAGAGUAGUAAUUCUAAGUCACUUAAAAUGCUACUAUCUGUUAUUUUAAGUUAUAGGUAUCCAUGGUUGUUGCGUCUAAGUAUUGUUAAUCUUCGGUGUAGAUUAUCUGUCUAAUGCUAUUCCUCUAUAAAUUCAUACAUGUGCAUUGUGCAUCCCAUGAGGUACGUUAAUUGACACGUGAUGUGAAAGACGAGCCGGGUCAACCCCAAGAUGUUGUAAAGCACGACCUACUUCGAAAAGUGAUGCUGAUGGAGGAACCUGAAGAUGGAUAAUCUGAACGAGUGCCAAGACAAAGGAUGAUCGUCAAGUGAUCGACGUCUAACAAACACUAACCUAGUGUUAUUCCAGGCAAGCCCCGGUGCAUUAUCCCUUUCCUUGUGUUUUAAAAUCUUUAUCACCUUGUUUGAUGCAUUAGGUGAUAGGAGUUGUGUGCUAAACAAUUGAUGCAUUUCCUUCCUUGGAAAAUUGAUUACCCUUCCUUGAUACCCUUUUAUGAAAAGGAUUUUAAUGAUGCUUAGCCUUGCUCUAGAAAAACAAAAUGUUUUGUUUUAAAACAAAAGUGAAGCUUCAUAUUGGUUGGGAAUUUUUACAAAGAAAAUACUUAUGAUGGUGAAUCCAUCAAAGGCCUUGAUGGGUUCAACAUCUGAAAAGAUGUACCUCUGCCAGGUACCAAACUUUGGGUUUUAAAUAAUAAAGACGAGACCAGGCGGGUGACUUGCACGAGAAGGGAGUCUCAGUGUAGUGUCUCCGUCUGAGUCGCUUAAGGACCAUUCGAUGUAGGCCUAAUGAGGUGAGACUUUGCAACUAGCCACAUGCUCUGGUAAGCCUGAACCCGACAAUUCCAUAUGUGAAAAGACAACCGCGCACUGGGUGUGGGAGAUGGUGGGAGUAGCGUGUACCCUCCUGGCUAGAGGCUGGACGGAGGAGUACUGUGCUCCCGGGUAGCGCAGACCGGUUCACGUUGUGGAGGAUCUGUGGGAACGGUUGACAUAUGCAAGGGUUAUGUGCUACAUAUGUCGUGUGGUUAGGGAUCCCGAGCUGGGUAUAAUCGGUUCGAAUCGUAGUUGAUAAGUGAAAUAUGAAUUGCUAAAAUAAAGCUAGAUCAGGACAAGUGAACGAUCUAGAUUAGGCAAAUUUAGAAUCAGGUAAGAACUUAACUUGAUAAUUAAAAGGUGGCUUAAGGAUCCACUAUUAGUAGGCGUUUCUGCAAAAUGAGUCCUUGAUUAUUGCUUAGCCUUACCUUGAUUCCUAAUCAGCCAGCAUAUCCUUGAGAGUCUUUUUCCUUAGACGGGUAAGACUUGCGAAAGUACACUUCAUACUCAGGGUUUUCGAACCCAUGUUGUUGCAGGUACUAGAAUUGUGUUGUUGUGGAUGGUGUUAAGCGCCG